Molecule: ribosomal RNA, 515 nt
Filed under: Fusarium sp. bc_besc_294g
Lineage: Eukaryota; Fungi; Ascomycota; Sordariomycetes; Hypocreales; Nectriaceae
Description: eukaryotic LSU rRNA
Rfam family: 5.8S ribosomal RNA (bases 161-314)
Source: RNAcentral
AGGGAUCAUUACCGAGUUUACAACUCCCAAACCCCUGUGAACAUACCACUUGUUGCCUCGGCGGAUCAGCCCGCUCCCGGUAAAACGGGACGGCCCGCCAGAGGACCCCUAAAACUCUGUUUCUAUAUGUAACUUCUGAGUAAAACCAUAAAUAAAUCAAAACUUUCAACAACGGAUCUCUUGGUUCUGGCAUCGAUGAAGAACGCAGCAAAAUGCGAUAAGUAAUGUGAAUUGCAGAAUUCAGUGAAUCAUCGAAUCUUUGAACGCACAUUGCGCCCGCCAGUAUUCUGGCGGGCAUGCCUGUUCGAGCGUCAUUUCAACCCUCAAGCACAGCUUGGUGUUGGGACUCGCGUUAAUUCGCGUUCCUCAAAUUGAUUGGCGGUCACGUCGAGCUUCCAUAGCGUAGUAGUAAAACCCUCGUUACUGGUAAUCGUCGCGGCCACGCCGUUAAACCCCAACUUCUGAAUGUUGACCUCGGAUCAGGUAGGAAUACCCGCUGAACUUAAGCAUAUCAA